RNAcentral lists this ribosomal RNA (460 nucleotides) under Tegula tridentata. Its description in RNAcentral is "partial 12S ribosomal RNA". Lineage: Eukaryota; Metazoa; Mollusca; Gastropoda; Trochida; Tegulidae. The record is from RNAcentral.
UUGAGGUGUAAAGCUUAAUUAAGAAUAGUUUACUUGAGUAUUACGAGUUGCAUAAAAAUGUUUUAUUGAAGAGGUCUUAAAACUCAAAAGACUUGGCGGUGUCUUAGGUCCUUCUAGGGGAACCUGUCCUAUAAUUGAUAGUCCACGAUUUAUCUUUCCUUUUUUUGAACCAUUCAGCUUGUAUACCGACGUCGUCAGAUUACCUUUAAGAGUUAAAUAAGUUAUCGGAAGGAAUAGUGUUGAUUAAAUUUUAUUUGGACUUUAUAGUCUAUUAUAAUUUUUAUGAAAAUGAUUUUCUAGAUGUCAGAUCAAGGUGCAGCCAAUGAAGAGGUAGAGAUGGGUUACAAUAAUUAUUUAUUAUUUACGGAUUUCUUAUUGAAAAUUAUAAGAAUUGAAGGCGGACUUAGAAGUAAUUUAUAAGAAAAAUAGAAAGUUCCGGUGAAAAUGGCACUAAGAUGUG